This 490-nucleotide ribosomal RNA is filed under the name uncultured bacterium. RNAcentral's name for it is "partial 16S ribosomal RNA". It matches the Rfam family "Bacterial small subunit ribosomal RNA", at positions 30 to 507 of the family's 1533-position model. The record is from RNAcentral.
AUUGAACGCUGGCGGCAGGCCUAACACUUGCAAGUCGAACGGUAACAGGAAACAGCUUGCUGUUUCGCUGACGAGUGGCGGACGGGUGAGUAAUGUCUGGGAAACUGCCUGAUGGAGGGGGAUAACUACUGGAAACGGUAGCUAAUACCGCAUAACGUCGCAAGACCAAAGAGGGGGACCCUCGGGCCUCUUGCCAUCGGAUGUGCCCAGAUGGGAUUAGCUUGUUGGUGGGGUAACGGCUCACCAAGGCGACGAUCCCUAGCUGGUCUGAGAGGAUGACCAGCCACACUGGAACUGAGACACGGUCCAGACUCCUACGGGAGGCAGCAGUGGGGAAUAUUGCACAAUGGGCGCAAGCCUGAUGCAGCCAUGCCGCGUGUAUGAAGAAGGCCUUCGGGUUGUAAAGUACUUUCAGCGGGGAGGAAGGGAGUAAAGUUAAUACCUUUGCUCAUUGACGUUACCCGCAGAAGAAGCACCGGCUAACUCCGUG